Molecule: ribosomal RNA, 502 nt
Filed under: uncultured bacterium
Lineage: Bacteria
Description: partial 16S ribosomal RNA
Rfam family: Bacterial small subunit ribosomal RNA
Source: RNAcentral
AUUGAACGCUGGCGGCAUGCUUUACACAUGCAAGUCGAACGGUAACAGGGUGCUUGCGCCGCUGACGAGUGGCGAACGGGUGAGUAAUGCGUCGGAACGUGCCGAGUAGUGGGGGAUAACGCAGCGAAAGUUGUGCUAAUACCGCAUACGUACUGAGGUAGAAAGUGGGGGACCUUCGGGCCUCACGCUAUUCGAGCGGCCGACGUCUGAUUAGCUAGUAGGUGAGGUAAAGGCUCACCUAGGCGACGAUCAGUAGCGGGUCUGAGAGGAUGAUCCGCCACACUGGGACUGAGACACGGCCCAGACUCCUACGGGAGGCAGCAGUGGGGAAUUUUGGACAAUGGGCGAAAGCCUGAUCCAGCCAUGCCGCGUGUCUGAAGAAGGCCUUCGGGUUGUAAAGGACUUUUGUCAGGGAGGAAAUCCCUAGUGCUAAUAACACUGGGACUCAUGACGGUACCUGAAGAAUAAGCACCGGCUAACUACGUGCCAGCCGCCGCUGUAA